UACGUAGGGGGCAAGCGUUGUCCGGAUUUACUGGGCGUAAAGGGCGCGUAGGCGGCAAUUCAAGUCAUCUGUGAAAUCUCCGAGCUUAACUCGGAACGGUCAGAUGAUACUGCUUUGCUAGAGUGCAGAAGGGGCAACCGGAAUUCUUGGUGUAGCGGUGAAAUGCGUAGAUAUCAAGAGGAACACCGGAGGUGAAGACGGGUUGCUGGGCUGACACUGACGCUGAGGCGCGAAAGCUAGGGUAGCAAACGGG
Molecule: ribosomal RNA, 253 nt
Filed under: uncultured bacterium
Lineage: Bacteria
Description: partial 16S ribosomal RNA
Rfam family: Bacterial small subunit ribosomal RNA
Source: RNAcentral